CAGUAGCCGCGGUAAUACGUAGGGUGCGAGCGUUAAUCGGAAUUACUGGGCGUAAAGCGUGCGCAGGCGGUUGUGUAAGACAGGUGUGAAAUCCCCGGGCUUAACCUGGGAACUGCGCUUGUGACUGCACAGCUAGAGUAUGGCAGAGGGGGGUGGAAUUCCACGUGUAGCAGUGAAAUGCGUUGAGAUCGGAAAGAACACCAACGGCGAAAGCACUCUGCUGGGCCGACACUGACACUGAGAGACGAAAGCUAGGGGAGCAAAUGGGAUUAGAUACCCCAGUAGUCCCUGUCUCUUAUAA
Molecule: ribosomal RNA, 301 nt
Filed under: uncultured bacterium
Lineage: Bacteria
Description: partial 16S ribosomal RNA
Rfam family: Bacterial small subunit ribosomal RNA
Source: RNAcentral